RNAcentral lists this unclassified non-coding RNA (2230 nucleotides) under Daphnia magna. RNAcentral's name for it is "cLK4-associating serine/arginine rich protein, transcript variant X1". The record is from RNAcentral. Lineage: Eukaryota; Metazoa; Arthropoda; Branchiopoda; Diplostraca; Daphniidae.
UCGUAUUGCCUGAGAGAAAACUUAAGGAAUGAUUAGUCUGCUGGGGUUUGACGAUUUUUGAUUUGACGGAAAGGUUAUAUACAAACUCUAUCGUCGCUAUUGUAUUGAUGUGCGUCCCAUAAAACAUAGUUUUGGAAGUUCAUAACAAUAGUGAGAAAGAACAGUUACCAUAGAUCAACAUGUGGCACGAAGCGAGAAAGCAGGAGCGUCUCUUGAAGUCCAUGAUGGUAGAUCACCGAAGAAGGGCAGAAAGGCGUCGAGAAUAUUACGAAAAAACUAAAGGAGAUCCAGCUCAGUUCCUUCAAGUUCAUGGCCGGCCUAUGAAAAUCCAUGUUGACCCUAGCAUUGCAGCUAUCGCAGACAGCCCUGCUACUAUGAUGCCUUGGCAAGGGCAGCCAGAUAUAUUGAUUGACCGGUUUGAUGUUAGAGCACAUCUGGAUUUUAUCCCUUGUCGCCCAAAAAGAGAUGACAGCGACACAGAUCUUGGUCCCAGUGAAGAAGUGUGGGAGGAAAGACAAGCAAGCUAUGAGAGAUAUAGAAUUCUUGUGCAAAAUGAAUUUAUUGGAGUUUCAGAGGAAAAGUUUCUACAUCAAAUAUUGCUUGAAGAGCAAUUUGGACCAGUUCAAAAAUUAGGCGAAGAAGAAAAGAAAAAAAUGCUAGCUCCAAAGAAAGCUGCUAUAGGUUUUGUUUAUGAUGAUUCUUCGCCAUCAUUAUCGGCCGCUGCAGCGUCAACCUCACAUAAUAUUCCUUUGGUUCCUCCGGAAGCAAUCGAAGAAGAUGAAUCUGAUAGUGACGUCGAUUUAGAUUUGUCUAUUGCCGUGGACAAACUGACCACUGAGCAAAUGCACGAAGUCAACAAAUGUGCGCUUCAUUAUGGACUAGGCCGGCAGGACUUCAUGUCACUACUCACUCGUGACUUGGACGAACAAGAGUCAUUAAGAAUUGCCAAGGAGGAAGAACAGGAAAGAGCGAUGUAUUCCGGAAGAAAAGCUAGGAAAGAGCGGCGGGCAUUCAGAGAACAAAAACUGCAAGCUUUGCUAAUGAAUCGGUGUCUUAGUCCACCAAGUUACGCUACUCGAGCAAGCCCAACUUAUGAUGGGCAGUUUCGCCGCUCUAAAUCGGUGUCAAAGUCAAGGUCGCCUUCGCCAUUCGAAGGCGGAAUCAAAUUCAUAACAUCAUUUGGUGACGAAGAUUCGGAUCCUGGAGGAAAAACGAUUAAUUCUCGGCCUGGAAACAAAACCCGCGACAAAGAUUUAUCAAGUAGCAGACGAUCAUUAGGUUCCACAGCUACCUCGGCUCGAGACAGAGCUGGACGUCCUUCAAGUAGCGGCCGUGAUGAAUGGAAAGUACAAGAAAGACGACGUUCCCGCUCGAGAUCGGUAGGCCGUCGCGCUAGAUCUCCUGUAUCGCACAGUUCGAGAACAAAGAAAGAGAAAAAAACUGAAUAUAGCUACAAAAACGAGCGCUCUGGAUCUCGCUCUCACCGAAGAUCACGUUCACCACGUCAUCGUCGCACUCGUUCGCGAUCAAGGUCUCGCCGUCGUUCGCGUUAUUCAAGAUCACGCUCUCGGUCUUAUUCUCCUCGAAGUAGCAGACGCCAAAGAAAGCGCUCAUUUUCGCGAGAGCGCAGUCGUAGAAAAUCACCGUCAUCUUCCUCGAGGUCAUCAUCUUCGCGGUCCUCAUCGUCGCCUCCUUCAGUCCGAUCUACUUCACCCAUCCAACCGUCUCUAUCGUCCGCCCUGCCGACUCGAGAAAUACGCCAAAUUAGUCCACCCGAGAUACCUAAUCCACCUCCUGCCCCUCCAUUUCGGCGUUAUUAUGGGCGACAAAAAAGUGACUCUGAUUUGUCCCUAUCGGAUACAGAGUUGACGCCAUCAUCCAAGAUUUCAGCGUCUUCGUAUUCAACGCCUAAGCCUUCUGUUUCAACCGUGACAGGUUCUAGUGGUACAAGCACUGGUGCAACCAAAGUCAAAUACGUUGACGCCACAAGAACGCUUAAAGCGCAAGAUGCAAGCAGCUCUCAACAAACAAUACAAGGCGGAUAAACGUGCAGAAAAGGAGAAGCUGCAAAAAGUCGAACAAGAAAGGGUGAACCGAGAGGAAGAAAUGCGCGAAUUGGCACUUAGACUACGUCGCAAGGAGCGUAUGCGUCGCCAUGCUGCAAAAGGAGAAUCUGGUUCUUCUAGCCCGUCUUCUCGUUCACAGUCACGCUCACCAUCUCGUACGCCAU